Molecule: long non-coding RNA, 268 nt
Filed under: Elaeis guineensis (African oil palm)
Lineage: Eukaryota; Viridiplantae; Streptophyta; Magnoliopsida; Arecales; Arecaceae
Description: long non-coding RNA (EGUI_LNC049134)
Source: RNAcentral
GUACUAAUAUGAGUUGACAUUUUAACUUUGAGUUAUCCUAAGAGCUGAGGAUCAAAGAGAUGAAUUACACGGUAACCAUAGUCCAGGGUUCUUGAAUUAACAUGCCAAGAAUUACACUAAUCUUUACAAUCAUUCGGCCUAUUCGGACGUUGAGUAUCAUUGCUAGAUGGUCAUAUUGAUUGUAUAAAAAUUUAUUUUUAUACUAUCGACUUAGAUUCGAGCCUAUAGGAUCACACUCAAAAGAAGUUUCUGAUUGAUCAAAUGGCUG